This 207-nucleotide ribosomal RNA is filed under the name uncultured bacterium. RNAcentral describes it as "partial 16S ribosomal RNA". It matches the Rfam family "Bacterial small subunit ribosomal RNA", at positions 524 to 730 of the family's 1533-position model. The record is from RNAcentral.
UACGAAGGGGGCUAGCGUUGCUCGGAAUCACUGGGCGUAAAGGGCUCGUAGGCGGCGUGUCGCGUCGGGAGUGAAAGCCCGCUGCUUAACGGCGGGUUGGCUUCCGGUACGGGCAUCGCUGGAGUGCGGCAGGGGAGACUGGAAUUCCUGGUGUAGCGGUGGAAUGCGCAGAUAUCAGGAGGAACACCGGUGGCGAAGGCGGACUCU